Molecule: ribosomal RNA, 255 nt
Filed under: uncultured Leptotrichia sp.
Lineage: Bacteria; Fusobacteriati; Fusobacteriota; Fusobacteriia; Fusobacteriales; Leptotrichiaceae
Description: partial 16S ribosomal RNA
Rfam family: Bacterial small subunit ribosomal RNA
Source: RNAcentral
CGGACGGGUGAGUAACGCGUAAGAACUUGCCCUUUAGACUGGGAUAACAGAGGGAAACUUCUGAUAAUACUGGAUAAGUUAGUAUAUCGCAUGAUAUGCAAAUGAAAGCUACGGCACUAAAGGAGAGCUUUGCGUCCUAUUAGCUAGUUGGUAAGGUAAGAGCUUACCAAGGCGAUGAUAGGUAGCCGGCCUGAGAGGGUGGACGGCCACAAGGGGACUGAGAUACGGCCCUUACUCCUACGGGAGGCAGCAGUC